GAGAAGGAAACCGGUUCAGAGAAGGAAACCUGUUCAGAGAAGGAAACCUGUUCAGAGAAGGAAACCUGUUCAGAGAAGGAAACCUGUUCAGAGAAGGAAACCAUUCAGAGAAGGAAACCUGUUCAGAGAAGGAAACCUGUUCAGAGAAGGAAACCGGUUCAGAGAAGGAAACCGUUCAGAGAAGGAAACCUGUUCAGAGAAGGAAACCGUUCAGAGAAGGAAACCGGUUCAGAGAAGGAAACCUGUUCAGAGAAGGAAACCUGUUCAGAGAAGGAAACCGGUUCAGAGAAGGAAACCUGUUCAGAGAAGGAAACCUGUUCAGAGAAGGAAACCGUUCAGAGAAGGAAACCGUUCAGAGAAGGAAACCUGUUCAGAGAAGGAAACCUGUUCAGAGAAGGAAACCGUUCAGAGAAGGAAACCGGUUCAGAGAAGGAAACUGGUUCAGAGAAGGAAACCGUUCAGAGAAGGAAACCGGUUCAGAGAAGGAAACCUGUUCAGAGAAGGAAACCGUUCAGAGAAGGAAACCGUUCAGAGAAGGAAACCUGUUCAGAGAAGGAAACCGUUCAGAGAAGGAAACCCCGUUCAGAGAAGGAAACCGUUCACCAGGCACCAUAGUAUUCUUUUUUAACUCUAUUUAUUAACAUUUGAUCGUCCAAAAAAUAAGCAAUAGGAAUUUUAAAACCAACAGUUUACAAAGUACUUUUGAACUCUAUGGACAUUUGGCGUUCUGAAACAAUGGACAGUAGGUAGGUGUGGACCUGCCUAUUCAUUCAUAUACAGUAGGUGUGGACCUGCCUAUUCAUUCAUAUACAGUAGGUGUGGACCUGCCUAUUCAUUCAUAUACAGUAGGUGUGGACCUGCCUAUUCAUUCAUAUACAGUAGGUGUGGACCUGCCUAUUCAUUCAUAUACAGUAGGUGUGGACCUGCCUAUUCAUUCAUAUACAGUAGGUGUGGACCUGCCUAUUCAUUCAUAUACAGUAGGUGUGGACCUGCCUAUUCAUUCAUAUACAGUAGGUGUAGACCUGCCUAUUCAUUCAUAUACAGUAGGUGUAGACCUGCCUAUUCAUUCAUAUACAGUAGGCAAGGACCUGCCUAUUCAUUCAUAUACAGUAGGUAAUGACCAGCCUAUUCAUUCAUAUACAGUAGGUGAGGACCUGCCUAUUCAUUCAUAUACAGUAGGUAUCUGAUUAUAGAAAUAAACGCAUCUCCAUUUUAAGCAUCCACGUGACAGGCCCAUGUGAUCAACGGCUAAUUGCGCAUCACAUUUGCGACAUUGGUCAUGCAUGCACAGUGGGGGGAACUAAAUUAGUGGUCAUAAUUCUACCGAGCCUACUUUGUUGAAAAAUAAUCCCCCAGGCCCUCAGUUGGGUACAGCAGGUACAUCAGACGCCAUACCCUAGCUCAAGACCAAACAUUUAAAAAGUCGGCUAUAAAAAAAAAAGUUGUUUAAAAUCAUUCCAAUCCUGAUUAAAAUACAACGUCCUGCUUAGCGUAUUGACCAGUCUGGCUUUAGGACCAUGCGGAGCGUCGCUCGGAGAGAAGCUGCCAGUCUGCGUGUCGUUCUCUCACUAAGAGAGCAGAGACAAGUGCCAGACAGUUUGCUUCUGCCGGUCAGUCGUUUAGGCAGUGCGCCGAUUGCUUUGAAUUUGACGUGGGCAUUUAAACUCGUCCUUGUAGGCCUCACUGACAGCUGGUUUAUACACCGGCUCCGUUUCACAUUGACGUCAGCGUCGGAAACGUGUCCCAAUUUGGCUAGCGGAAGAUGUUACUUCAGGGGAAGCUUAUUUUAAUUUGUAAAAAUUAGCAAUAAUUACUGGUGCCUAUACAAAAAUAGAUUCAGAGAGCAUGAUUUGACCACAGAGGAUCAUUAGCUUUUUUAAAAAUGAGUUUUGGAUUGUUUUAAGCUGCCAUUUGGGCAGUACACAACGAAUAGCCUUGCAAACAGCUGAUUGUUUCGUUGCAGUGGUCAGUGAAAAGCUGUUUAAAAAAUAGUCCUAGGGCUGUCAGAAUAUUUCAAAAAUACAAAUUGUAGAAAAAAAAACAAUUUAGAAAGAAAAAUGGCUACUGCUGAAAAGAGAUCACAAAUAAAAGACUAUCUGUCUCCAUUCAUCAACUCCUAAUUGAGCGAACAGUAGGCCAUCGUAUUGGUACCGGCGGAGUGCACACAUACCCACGGUCUGUCAUCCGAUCAGUAUCACUGGAACGGCGGCUUUUGGACAAUAAUUCCUACCUCCGGGCUACAUGCACAUCAUAUUUCACCAUUUGUAUCAUAUUUCACCACUUGAACCUCUCCUUUUCGGACUAGAUUAGAUGGGGCUGCAUUCAAAGAAAAACGAUUGUUUUUACAGAUGUUUCCCAUGCAGAGAAAGGAGAAGAAACAUCUCUGAUAAAGCCUACUCUAUGUCACUACUAUCUCUGUCACUACUAUCCCUGUCACCACUAUCUCUGUCACUACUAUCUCUGUCACUGCUAUCUCUGUCACUGCUAUCUCUGUCACUACUAUCACUACUAUCUCUGUCACUACUAUCUCUGUCACUACUAUCUCUGUCACUGCUAUCUCUGUCACUACUAUCUCUGUCACUACUAUCUCUGUCACUGCUAUCUCUGUCACUGCUAUCUCUGUCACUACUAUCUCUGUCACUACUAUCACUGUCACUACUGGCUCAGACAUGCAUUGUUCAGAACUGUCCGUUUUGCUAAUAUUUAGCCUAAAUUAUGACUAUGCAAUCUACUCAUCACAUUAGGACUAGUGGCCUAUUUUACAUUAGUCUUCAAAUGGGAUGAUAGAUGCCCGCAAUAACCUCUGUUAUAAAAAGGAUGACAUUUGAUGUUGAACAAAUAGUUUGAAAGUCAGGCAUCACCUAUGGAUGAGGUCAUCAGAGGUCGUCCUUGUUGUGACUUGAUAGCGUCUAUUAUGCAUCUUGUUGCACUGUGUACGCCCGUUCCACCAUGUAAAUGAGUACAUUUAUGAUGAGUUUGAGUAGGGGUUGACAUUGUCUAUGCGGUUCCACAGACCAGUAGCCUAGGAGUAGCCUACAGUAGCCUAGGAGUAGCCUACAGUAGCCUAGGAGUAGCCUACAGUAGCCUAGGAGUAGCCUACAGUAGCCUAGGAGUAGCCUACAGUAGCCUAGGGCUAGCCUACAGUAGCCUAGGAGUAGCCUACAGUAGCCUAGGAGUAGCCUAGCAGUAGC
Long non-coding RNA from Oncorhynchus keta (chum salmon), 3191 nucleotides. RefSeq lists it as uncharacterized. NCBI's taxonomy places the organism in Eukaryota, Metazoa, Chordata, Actinopteri, Salmoniformes, Salmonidae. The transcript has 3 exons. The record is from RefSeq and is a predicted model, not a curated record.